This is a non-coding RNA of Pelodiscus sinensis (Chinese soft-shelled turtle), 2428 nucleotides long. The record is from RefSeq and is a predicted model, not a curated record. NCBI's taxonomy places the organism in Eukaryota, Metazoa, Chordata, Testudines, Trionychidae.
GGAAAAGAUGGAAGAAUUUGCUUUAAUUCAAGAAAGAGAGUGGAGCAGACUCAGAAGACUGUGAUAUCGGAAAGAGGAUCACUCAUUGUUCUACCGCCCCAGCAAUGAACAGCUCCCUUAAGAGCACUUGGGGAGGACCAGCCACAGGCAGUCAGUUGGUGUAAACUGACAAAGAUCCACUGAAAUUGAUGGAGCUACUCUGAUUUACAUCAGAUGUUUGGGCAGGAACCAUACCCAGUGAGUAUACUCUGAAAUUGGACGUUAUUGUGAAGACUGAAUGGCAAUAGUUCUCAAGCUUCUUAGCUUGUGGCCCACCCUGCUAAACACAGACCUUUCCAUAGACCACCAGCCAACCACCUAUGGUGACAAAAUGGGUUCAGGAAAGCAAAGAAUUCUGCGGGGGACAUAAAUUCUGUGCGGUAGUGCAGAACUCCCCCACGAAUAACAGCUAUUCCAGUUUGGAGGAUAUUGCUGCUGUGCAAGCUGUCUGAAACCCCAGCCUUCAAUUCAUCACAUAGGCAUCUUUAGAGAAGAAUGGCAUGGAACAUAGAGUGAAACAUUUAGUGCCAAUUGCCAAUUCAAUUGCUACCAUCUCAGAUCAAAGCAGUUAGCAGAGUGCUUGGUCCAAACAUAAAGAGAGCAACAGAAAAAGGGAGAGAGCUGCUUUUUUUUUUCCACGUUACUGUAGAACUCUUGAAAUAACAAUGCAGGAAAACACAAUUGAAUUGCUUUUCAAAAACUGGUUUUAAAAAACUAGAUUUCCCUUAAUAUCUUCAAAAGGAAAGCAAUUUCAAGAAAACAGACAGGCAGAAAAAUGUGAAAAUCCACAUACUGCUAAACAGGUGUUUAGCAAAGAUUACAGGGGAGUAAGUAGAACAGUGUAUAAUAAAAAAGGGUACUUGAAUUAAGUCUGUAUCUGGUGAUUAUAAAUAAUUAAGUGAUGGGGGUGUCUAUAAAUCAGGCAUUGCUGCUUUAGAGGACUGAACAUUAAAAGGAGUCACAUACUUUGGAAACAUGAUUGUCUAGUGAAACUUGCCAAGGAACCAUUUGGCUUGUGAUUCAGAGGACCUGAAGACUUUCAGCAGUCUCUCUCAAUUAUUGGGCCUACUUCAAAGUUCUUCAGCAACAACAGACUGUUACAAACAAUGCUGUCCAUCUAAUAGCCCAAUCUUGUAAGAUAUUGACUGAGUGCCCCUGAAGAGUUGGCAGGACUUAGCACUUCUCACGAGCUCCUCAGCUUCUUAAAAGAGAGGACCCUGCAAAAGGAAACAGAAAGUGGCCUGAGACAGAGUGUCUGACAAGAAGGAAAUGAGGAAAGCAUUUUUUAUACAUAUAGAAGGUAUUGUUUACAGAGGAAUGUGAAGUAGGUGCCGACUUUGCACAAUAUUGCAAUCCAACAGCAGAGGGGUUAAAGCUCUGUUGAGCGUGAAUGCACAUGGGCUUCAAGAGUAUUACAUGUGGCUGCUGUUUCUUUGGGAUCAAAAUUGUUUACACUAUAAUCUGCUUGCACCUGCAGAUUGCUGCAGUUUUGUCUGCUGUUCAGUGCUUCCUGAGAAGCUGAUAAUUCACAUGGCUGAUUAAGCUGCUGUUUUGAUCUCUUCCUCUUUGGAAUCUCUUCUAGUGUGUUUAAUAAAAAGCCCUAUUAAGAAAGUACAAGUGGGUGCUUUGUGCUUCUUCAACACCUAAUUUACUAUUUUUAACAUUAAAUACUCCAUCACAUGUCCUGAAUUUGAUUAUACAUAUUGUGUUUAACAUAAUAGCUUCUUGCUGCAGAUUUACACACGUUCUUUAACAAGUAUUUCCAACCAAGAAUCCAGGCUGCAAUCUUCCCAGAAGUAUUCUUCGCCUAUCCCAGAUCUUUGUAUUAUUAACUAAGAGACAUAAUGGAGUGCCAUCAUUCACAUUAAGGGUGUUAAACAACCUGCUUAGGCUUUGCUGUAUAUAUAAAAUAUAUAUCAAAUAGAGAAGGAGAAUGUGCAUUCAAUUUAGGCCACAAAAUACGAAAGGGCAAAUCUGCAUAAAAUUAGGAGCAAACAGCACCAGUUGAUUUCAUUGAGGGUCAUAAAUGAAUGUGGUCCAAAUGAAGUGGGAGAAAAAUGUUACUCAAAAUCCCUGAACUAUUUUUAAAUCACAAGGGGUAACAAAUUAGCAUUAGUUACCCUUAGGUGCUUUCAUUUGAGUGACCAGUGCAGCUAUCACUCAGCAUAAAACAUUGAUCUCACUGACUCUGGCAGAAUUAUAGAGGGCUUGUUUCUGUGAUCUAUUGUUGAACAAUUUAUCUGAUGCAUUAAUCAUAUCUGAGAUACUGGAUUUGGAUUGCAGAUUUUCCUUUUUAGAUCUCUUUCCUCCAGUGUACACAUUUACUGAGCUCGUGAAAAAAAAUGAAAUUACAUUUUCAAUGUUUAUGUUUCACUUUCUAUUAGCUCAU